UCCUGGAAUUUUAUUUCUGAAUUUUGUUAUGGUUGAUAAUGACUUAUUUGGUCACUGUGGUCAGUAACAGAUCAUGGUAAAUGAAAACAAUUUAGUAUUCCUAGAAGAAAACUAAUUUACAAUGUAUAUCAUUAUCAGAGGGAAUCUGGAAUGUAGUCUGGGAUUUGCUCCUUCCAGCCGUUGAACACAAUGGCUGACUCGGCAAAAUGAACACAAAGAUGUCCCAGAAUUCCAGCAAUAUUUCAUUGAGGUAGCAACAGAGUCCUCAGGUCCUCAGCCUCUGUGGUGGUAAUGUGGGGUCCUCAGACAGCCUCUGUGGUGGUAAUGUGGGGUCCUCAGCCUCUGUGGUGGUAAUGUGGGCUCCUCAGACAGCCUCUGUGGUGGUAAUGUAGGGUCCUCAGCCUCUGUGGUGGUAAUGUAGGGUUCCCAGCCUCUGGUGGUAAUGUGGGGUCCUCAGACAGCCUCUGUGGUGGUAAUGUGGGGUCCUCAGACAGCCUCUGUGGUGGUAAUGUAGGGUCCUCAGCCUCUGUGUUGGUAAUGUGGGGUCCUCAGCCUCUGUGGUGGUAAUGUGGGGUCCUCAGCCUCUGUGGUGGUAAUGUGGGGUCCUCAGCCUCUGUGGUGGUAAUGUGGGGUCCUCAGCCUCUGUGUUGGUAAUGUGGGGUCCUCAGCCUCUGUGGUGGUAAUGUGGGGUCCUCAGACAGCCUCUGUGGUGGUAAUGUGGGGUCCUCAGCCUCUGUGUUGGUAAUGUGGGGUCCUCAGCCUCUGUGGUGGUAAUGUGGGGUCCUCAGACAGCCUCUGUGAUGGUAAUGUAGGGUCCCCAGAUAGCGCACUCCCUCUCCUCAAUCCUUGGGGUCCUUGUCAUUCACUGCCUCCUGCUGCAGGGCUGAGGAGCGUAAACCCCUCCCCCACCAUAGAACCACCACAGCACACUGUUAAUCCCCUCCUUUUCCCUCUCUGUAUCCACAUCGCUGCCUCUCUCCCCCUCCCUUUCUGCAUCCCUUCAUCCUGCCCUGCUUCCCUCCCUCCCUCCUCCUAACCAGCCUCCACACGCUCCCCGAUCCCUCCCUCCUCCUAACCAGCCUCCACACGCUCCCCGAUCCCUCCCUCCUCCUAACCAGCCUCCACACGCUCCCCUAUCCCUCCCUCCUCCUAACCAGCCUCCACACGCUCCCGAUCCCUCCCUCCUCCUACUCAGCCUCCACACGCUCCCUGAUCCCUCCCUCCUCCUGACCAGCCUCCACAACCUCCCCGAUCCCUCCCUCCCUCCCUCCCUC
This is a long non-coding RNA of Esox lucius (northern pike), 1274 nucleotides long. The record is from Ensembl. NCBI's taxonomy places the organism in Eukaryota, Metazoa, Chordata, Actinopteri, Esociformes, Esocidae.